GUCGUCAGCUCGUGUCGUGAGAUGUUGGGUUAAGUCCCGCAACGAGCGCAACCCUUGUCAUUAGUUGCUACAUUCAGUUGGGCACUCUAAAUGAGACUGCCGGUGACAAGCCGGAGGAAGUGGGGAUGACGUCAAGUCCUCAUGGCCCUUAUAGGUGGGGCUACACACGUCAUACAAUGGCUGGUACAAAGGGUUGCCAACCCGCGAGGGGGAGCCAAUCCCAUAAAGCCAGUCGUAGUCCGGAUCGUAGUCUGCAACUCGACUACGUGAAGUCGGAAUCGCUAGUAAUCGUGGAUCAGAAUGUCACGGUGAAUACGUUCCCGGGUCUU
RNAcentral lists this ribosomal RNA (329 nucleotides) under uncultured Rhodoferax sp. RNAcentral's name for it is "bacterial SSU rRNA". It matches the Rfam family "Bacterial small subunit ribosomal RNA", at positions 1051 to 1382 of the family's 1533-position model. The record is from RNAcentral. Lineage: Bacteria; Pseudomonadati; Pseudomonadota; Betaproteobacteria; Burkholderiales; Comamonadaceae.